This 425-nucleotide ribosomal RNA is filed under the name uncultured bacterium. Its description in RNAcentral is "bacterial SSU rRNA". It matches the Rfam family "Bacterial small subunit ribosomal RNA", at positions 359 to 775 of the family's 1533-position model. The record is from RNAcentral.
GAAUAUUGGACAAUGGGGGGAACCCUGAUCCAGCCAUGCCGCGUGUGUGAAGAAGGCCUUUUGGUUGUAAAGCACUUUAAGCGAGGAGGAGGCUACUCUCGUGAAUACCUAGGGAUAGUGGACGUUACUCGCAAACAAAGCCCCGGCUAACUCUGUGCCAGCAGCCGCGGUAAUACAGAGGGUGCAAGCGUUAAUCGGAUUUACUGGGCGUAAAGCGCGCGUAGGUGGACAAUUAAGUCAAAUGUGAAAUCCCCGAGCUUAACUUGGGAAUUGCAUUCGAUACUGGUUGGCUAGAGUAUGGGAGAGGAUGGUAGAAUUCCAGGUGUAGCGGUGAAAUGCGUAGAGAUCUGGAGGAAUACCAAUGGCGAAGGCAGCCAUCUGGCCUAAUACUGACACUGAGGUGCGAAAGCAUGGGGAGCAAACAG